UUUCGCUCGUCUUUCCGUUUCUCCGGGUUUUUUUCCCUUUUCCACGGACGGCCGCCCCUCGCUUGGCGCCGAUCCUUUCACGUGUGUCGCGCACCUGCGCCCCCGCUCAGCUGUCGCUCAUCAUGGCGACGAUGACGUCAGCGGUCGUCGACACCUUUGGCGGGUCGGCUGCAGGGGGAGGAGCCACACGCGGCCAGGUAAGCGCCUGACGUGCAGGUCAAUUGCGCACCUGCGGGUCAGCCGACCUCCCCACCCAAAGGAAAAUAAUAAAAACAACCGAUUUGUAUUUUAAUCUAAAUGCGAAGCCAUUAAAACGGAAUCAAGCAGCUGUUAUAGGACAUGUGAAUUACAAUUAAAUUCUAAAAAUGACUCCACACGUGUUGUCAUCUGCAGAUGAAAAUUUAAACUACAAAAAAAAAAACGAAGCAACUUUUAUGAACAUUCCCAAUCAUUUAAUUAAAACUAGCGAUUGUGGAGCACUGAACAAUUUCAGGUAAAAUGAUCUUGCUGUACAAAUAGUGAGAUGGAAGUCAU
Long non-coding RNA from Hippocampus comes (tiger tail seahorse), 534 nucleotides. RefSeq lists it as uncharacterized. NCBI's taxonomy places the organism in Eukaryota, Metazoa, Chordata, Actinopteri, Syngnathiformes, Syngnathidae. The transcript is spliced from 2 exons. The record is from RefSeq and is a predicted model, not a curated record.